RNAcentral lists this small RNA (483 nucleotides) under Pongo abelii (Sumatran orangutan). Its description in RNAcentral is "processed transcript". The record is from RNAcentral. Lineage: Eukaryota; Metazoa; Chordata; Mammalia; Primates; Hominidae.
AUCGGCCAUUUGCUUCGCUCCGCCCCGCAGCGCCGGAGUCAAAGCCGGUUCCCGGCCCGGUCCCGUCCUCAGGGAGUUCUGUCCUUCUGGCGCGGUAACCUGGCCAAUGUCAUCAGAUACUUCCCCACCCAGGCUCUUAACUUCGCCUUCAAAGAUAAAUACAAGCAGAUCUUCCUGGGUGGUGUGGACAAGAGAACCCAGUUUUGGCGCUACUUUGCAGGGAAUCUGGCAUCCGGUGGUGCCGCAGGAGCCACAUCCCUGUGUUUUGUGUACCCUCUUGAUUUUGCCCGUACCCGUCUAGCAGCCGAUGUGGGUAAAGCUGGAGCUGAAAGGGAAUUCCGAGGCCUCGGUGACUGCCUGGUUAAGAUCUACAAAUCUGAUGGGAUUAAGGGCCUGUACCAAGGCUUUAACGUGUCUGUGCAGGGUAUUAUCAUCUACCGAGCCGCCUACUUCGGUAUCUAUGACACUGCAAAGGGUAAGUUU